AAAAAAAGAGGAAAAAGAAAACCACCACCCACCUACCACGAUUUCCUCCGCCCCUUCCAGAGGCGGGUCGGUGAUCUCGAUCUCCCGGGAAGGGCGGCCCAAAUAUGUACUUUUAAAAAGGUGUCGGGAGACCCGGGGGAAAGACAAAAAAACAAACAAACAAACAAAAACAAAAAGAAAAAAAAAAAAACGGAGGGCUUACCCUUCCCAGCCCGCCUGGCCCAGCUUGCGCGGCGCGGCGGCGAGCAGGAGCGGGGACGCGGGCCGGGCGCCGGGCCCGGCCGGGACGCGCUAGGCCGCAGGCUCGGUUAAUAUUCAUGAGCGAACGGGAGGCGCCCCUCCUCCACGGCCGGCCGGCCGGACCCCGGCGCCCGCCGCCGGCCUUUGUGCCCUUCCCUCCUUCCUCCGGCCCUCCCUCGCUCCGCACACGCGGGCGCGGCCCCUCCGCCCCCGCCGGGCGCCCGCCGCGGACUCCCUCCGGCCCCGCGCCAGCGCCGGGCGGGGUGGCCUGAGGUGGCGGGAAGGGAGGGAGCCCGCGGCGAGCCGGGCUCUCCACACCCGCCCGCGGGCGCUGCGCCCUGUCGGCUACGGCGGAAAGUAAAACAGACACGCACCGGAGAAAGCGGGGCGAGAGGAUCCGCUCGGGGCUGGCCGGCCCCAGGCAGCGCGCCCCGCACGCCCGGAGCGAGCCGGACGGCGCGGGAAGACGAUCCGGCGCUGCCCGCCCGCCGCCGCGCUCCGAGGCCGCCGCCCCCGGCCGGCCGCUCCCAGGCACCGCCGCGACCUGCCCCGGCCGGCCCCGGGCUCUCGGCCGCCGCGGGAGGGCGUGGGGCGGGGCGGCGGCCGCCGGACUCUCCCCUCGCCUCGCCGGGCCGGGCCGGGGCCGCGCUCGGGCGCCCGCGAUCGCCAAGUGACAGAAGUGCCUCGCUCCGCUGCCGCGCCGAGCUGUUUCCCGGGGGCGGAUUUCUCGCUUCUUCCUCCCUGGAUCCACCUCCUCCCACUCCACCUCCUUCCCCUCCCCUCCCCAGGGGAGGCUCUGAGGCUGAAUAUUUUCUGUCUUGAAUAAUACGGUCCCGGGAACCGACGCUGGAGAAGGGGGAUUAGCCGGGGUAGGGGGUACUCACUCCAACCCCCUCCCAAGGCGUCUCCGACCUGCAAGCCCUCACUGCCGCCCCCCCCCCCCCGCUCGCCAACACCCCUCCCAGAAACCAGGCUCACACAAAACCUUCCCUGCCUUCUCCUGUCUCCCGAGGGCAGAGCGGGAGCGGCCAGGAGCCGAGGUUUCUACUGGGGAAGACUCGAUGCUUGGCGUCAGGGGCGUCAGGGGCGUCAGGGACAAUUCUAUGACUGGAUUCGCGAAUACAGCUGAAUGAAGCCGGCGCGGCUAGCGGAACUGAGGAAAAGGUGGCUGCGCCGCUCCACUCUACAGGUCAGAGCCGCUCCGGGGACCGAGCGCCACCGCCGCCCCUCCCCACCCAAUUCCGGGGCCUGCCUCAGACCGCAGGCGGCUGGCUCCGCCCCGCCGCGCCUCACAACAUCUCCCGCUGCAAAUGGCCCAAUCGGGAGACGCGAGGAGAAAACAAGAGCCAAUCAGGCGCUGCUGACUCAGGCUUCCCUCCACCCUUGGCCCCUCCCCCGGUAGGAAAAGCCACCGCCCCUCUGUCUCCCCUUCCCACCCCCUCACCACCCCCCCGGGAGGUGGCUCACCGGCUCCAGUCCCCGUCCGGCUGGAGUGGGGUAGCCCGCUGAGGUGGCGGCGUUUGUCACCUUGUCACCCUCAUCCUCGCCCCCUCCCAGACACACCCCUUCUCCCUUUCCCAGUCCUCCUGCUGGUGCUGUUGAGGGUCAUUUGUAUCCUCACACCGGCAGGGGACCACCAGCUAUUGUGUCUGAUCAGCUGCCACCACCAUCCUGAGGGAAAAGAACAAAACCAAGAAGCUAUGUGAUCUGCUUACCUUUUCCUUCUUUCUUAACCACUCUUUCCCCUGAGAUUUUAAGACGCCUCCCCAUCCCCUGCUCCCUGCCCGCCGCCAGGGGUCCUGUUUCUUGAUUUGGGCGGGAUGGGAGGUGGGGGGGACACCACUCCCUGGAGCCUGAAUACCUGUGCCUUAGUUUUUAAUAUUCCUCAGAGUGGAAGGUGACAAACAUUUAGAAUAUACAACUAAAUCCUCGGCCUCAAUUAGAGGAAAGACUUUGACUGGAUCAUCUUUAUAUGGCCAUGAAAUUUGCAUGUUCGUGACAGCCCCUGACAAAACUAGUCAGCCAAUAACAAAGAAAGGGAAAAAAAAAAAGAAUAAAAUAGAGGGGAUGCCUGCCAGUCAUUUGGUAAUUUACUGAAUAGCCCACUGGGCUAUAGCAGUAUCCAGUUCUAGAUACUGUUGAGUAAAUUAACAAGAAGUGAAUAGAAAUGCAGGGUUCAAGUAGCGUACAUCUAGUGGGCUUAUAGAAUAUGUCCAGAAAGGGAAAACAAUUUCAAGCACAAAACAGCUCUUUACAAAUGCAAAUGUGCAUGCAUGGAGUACUUCACCGCUGAGGACAUCUAGGGUUAAGAUUUUUGCAAUGGAAAUUUUCAUAAAUGUUGAUUUUGAAAAAGAUUUUCAGUUUGGUAAAGGAGAGUAAAUAUUGGCCAUGGAAGGAGACAUGAAAAGGAGGUUAACCCAUUUUAGGAAGUGUGGAAAAAUAACAUGACCUAGAAAGACAUUUCUGUAAGAGGUAAAUGGAAGCAUCCAGAUCACAGUCUCGCUCCAUCAUUUGCCUUGUGACUUAAGGCAGAUUAUUAUUUAUGUGUCCGAGUACUAGAGCUAUCAAGUAAUAAGAGUGCCUGCCGUCUAUAAAGCACUGCCUCUGUGCUGGGUAUUCCUUCAAGAGCUUUGCACACAACGUAAGGAGAUAGCUGUGUGACAGAGCCAGGAUUAAGCCCAGGCGAUGGGCUCCAGAGUCCGUGCUUUUCUCCACAACACUAUACUCCAACACGAUACUCCAACAUGGUUUUUCACAGUCAUAACAACAAUAUUAACUAACACUUAGCUUAUUAUGCGCCAAUUAGUGUGCUUUGUGGGUAACUAAUUUAAUCUCACCUCUGGGUUAGGCAUGAUUACGAUGUUCCGUAUUGGGGAAUGUUUUUAAGAGCCAUUAUGGUAAGUUACUGUUAUAUGUAUCUUAUUUCUGUUAGGAUAGGAAUGAUCAUGAUGUUCUAAAAAUUGGGGAAUGUUUUUGAGAACCAUUGUGAUAAAUUGCUAUCAUAUGUAUCUGUGCGUUAGGCUAUCUGGAUGGACAGGGACAGUAGCACAGAACUAAGAGUUGGGAAACCUGGGUCCUAGUCCUUUCCUGGGACCUCCGAGUAGGACAUCACCUUUCCUAGCUAGCUGGGCUGUUGAGAGUGUCGAAUAACAUAAUACGUGUGAAGGGACUUUCAAAAUGUAAAAACAUUAUUCUGAUUACAUUAUUUGUCUUAUUAUAAAGCAGGUGUUUAUCCUGUCUCCCCGACUGGGAACCCUACUCUUUAUAACAUUUUGUCGUUAUGUAUUAGGAACAUUUUAACCCGGUUAAAAAUUAGGCCCAUUCCUUUCUUGAAGGCAUGACCAAUAAUAGUAUUUUAUUAACUGUUUGAGCUCUCAUUUAGAUGCAUUCUAAGCAGACCACUGUGGACACUCUCUGGGCGUCUAUAAAGUGGCAGCCAUCAGCCAGUCAUUCGCCAUGCCAAAGGUGUAACUGGUGGAGAAUGUAAACCCUUGGAGUUCCCUUCAGCUGCCCAUCUUGGGCAUUUCACUCAUUAACACCUCCACCAGAGGGAGGGCAAGAGAAAGGAAAAGGAGCCAAACUUCCAUCCUGCGGCUACUUGUUAACUGCUCCAGUGAGAGAUUUGGUGAAACAAUGAGUUUGGGGAUCACUCUAACUGAAAGGAGAUUUGGAACUAACUGUGGGUUUCACAGUUGAUAUCUUGAUAGUUUUCUUUACCCUAAAUACAAUGGAUAAGCAAGAGCUAACAGUAAGUCCACCUUUGUUUUACUUUGGAAGGCUAAUAUGUUCCUCUUUUGUGCAAAGCCAAUUAAUAAUCUAGCUUCUUAGAAAUUUCCACACCUAUAUUAAUAACUACCAGACGGUCUUGUACACUAUAAGUCUGACGAUCUAGGCAAGACAUUUUUAAAUAUGGGACUAUAUCCUUAAAAUGUAACUUUUGACUUUGUUAAUGACACAAUAAUAUUGUUUUGGUGAACCACAAUCAAGGAAAAAUGUCGAAGCCAGAAAUAGAGCCAAGUGUCUUAACCUCUGGUCUAAUGUCAUUCUGUUAUAAACUAUGGAUGAUUUCUACUCUGAAUAUAGAAGCUGGCAAUUCUAAGAGGCACAAGUGUUUGCCAUUGAAUUCCACAGAUGAAAUGUGUAAUUUGGGAUGAAGCAUUUGUAAAACUAUGUGUCUGAGGUGGUUAAGACCAAUGGCUCUCAGAAGAGUGAGCAUUUUUUUUUUUUUUUGGUCUUAGGACAAUGCUGUAGACUUCUUUUUCAUACAAUACUAAAAAGAUACAUUACCUGCUAAUAUUUCCUUGAAAAGGCCUUUGAUGUUGAACUGAAUAGCUCCAGAAAGCCCACCUCUCUAGCAAAGCAUUCACUACUGUAAUCAAAAGAAGGGAGUGAUUUUCCACAAUAAAUAAUUUCUAAGAUUCUUCUUCCGUCAUCACCUCUUUUACAUUAGUGAUGUAAUUUACUAAUUUAAUGUUCUUCAUUGGCGAGAUAUAUGACCUUAUUUCUGGCCCCAUGAUUACUAUCAUCAGUUACUAAUUUCGAAUCUAAAGGAUAGACACUAUUUAAUUCAAUGCAUACAGUACCUAGCAAAGUGCCGCAUGCAAUAGGUAUUUUUGAAUAAUUUCUCUGCCCUCAGCUUUGUGGUUUCUUUUUCCUCUAAACUAGUACUCUCCUUGGGUUUUUCUUUUUGGUUUGUUUGUUGCUGUUAAUUAGCUCCCUGAUCCUAAACGAUCUUUUAUUGUUAUUUAACGGUAACUGAAUUUUGUCUCCUUUUCUAUUUGCAUUAUAAACUUCUGUAGGGAAGAUUCCUGGGGCUUUUACUUCUCUUCAGGCCCCCAUAAUGCCUAAUAAUGUGCUUUUGCACAUAGAAAUCACUUCAAAAUUAUUCAAGAAUGGAAUGAUGAUUGUUUCACUGUUAUUCAGAAAUAUUUAUACCUCAAGAAAUUCCUGGCUGACCAACAACUCUCCAGAGGAAGAGUUGGAGGAAGAGUUGGAGGAAGAUAUGUGUAUAUAUGUCUGUGUGCAUAUGCUUAAAAUAGUAUAAAUCACAAGAGGCGUCUACUAAGGGAGCUCUUGGUGUGGCCCUCAACUUCCAGAAAUGCCACAUCUUAUCUCUUUACUUCACUUCUGUUGACUGAGAUGCUUUUUGGCCUCAAGACCAUGCCAGAAAUGAGUAUCACUUGCGUGUUGUCAGUUAUAAAAUAUUAGCCCAUAGCUUAUCCAUAAUCAUAUAUCAAACAUUUUCUUCUAGAUUCAAAUUAUUUUUCUAUACCAGCAUCUCCUCAAUUAAAAUUGAGUUGUUUGGUAGUCAUGUUUAUCAGCAUUAUUAAGAUUGUAUUUCUAGAUUUAAAAAAAUAAGCAUAAAAAUCUACAAGUUUUUAUGUUAUCCUAGGAAUCCUGAUUUCCAUUUAUAAGCAUUCCAAUUUUCCUUAAAAUAUGAGACAAGUUCUUAAAAUAUUUCCACCCACCCAAAUACAUAUGAUCUAGGACAUCGUGUGAAAAUAUCAUGCAAUCUGCGUAGAAACUCAUAUUACUGGAAAAUUGAAAUAUGUUUUUAUUAUCUUGGAAUGGAAUACUAAGUCCUAACCAUUGUAACUAAGAAACUGUGCUAGCAAUUGACUCUGACACUACAGACCUAAUCCAGAGCAACUAAAUCUUUUUCAACAGAAUGCAAAAAAUCAGCUAGCUUCCCCUUUUCAUCUUCAGGGAGCAGAAGUAGGAGAGACAUCUUAAAACAUCUCCAUUACUUGAUUCACUAAAACUCUGGGUGUCUUUUAAUAUUCUCUAGCACUGUAGAUUACAUUCCUCUAUUCCUAUAAUUGCCUGCAUUCCCUACUAAUCCAAAAGUCAACUAACCAAGGGUUCUUCCUUCAGAUAGGAAAGGAUUGCAGGAUAGUAUGUGGCAAUUCACAUCUGGACUUAAAGAGGAAAGAUGCAGGCUUGCAUAACUUUUCUCCUAAAAGAUUUUUUCAAUUAAAUUUUAAUUUUUAAAAAUUGCAACAUAAAAGAAAAAAAAAAAAGACUUUGCAACCAUGAGAGAGGCCACGCUUGUAUCCCACUUUACAAACCCACCCUCUUGCUUUCUUCCAAGCUUCUCAUUGGCUGGAUCCAACAGGAAGACAAAGGUACUAAAAAAAUAAUUCCUCCACUCUGUUUUUUAUAAACAGAAAUCUAGAUAGCAAAUCCUGAUCAAAGAUGGUUGGGAAACAAAUCAAAAGACUUAUGAAAACAUUUUUAAAUGGGGGGGGGGGUCAAGAAGAUGAAAUAAAGGAGCAUAUUAAUCAAAUGAGAAAGAAAGGAUAUAUUAUAGAAGACAACUUACCCCAAUAAACAGAAAAAAAUGGAGAUAAAUGUUUUACACCCUAAAGGAAAUAAAACAUACUAAAAGUGAAAUACAAGAGAGUGAAUGAGAUAUAAAAGGAGUUGGAAGAGCUAAGGAAAGACACUGAGAAGGAAAAAAAUCAUACCAUUGUGGAAGUAAUGAAUUAGAAAUAAGGAAGAAAAAGAAGGGAUAUCUGGCAGAAAAUAGACUGAUGGCAGACUAAAAGCACAAUAAAUACAAAGGAAAAGGACAACAAGGUUAAAAUGAUUCAACAGGUGAUAAGAAAUAUGGAAGACAAGUAAAAAGAAUCAAAUUCAGAGAAAUUGAUUCUCUAACGACGAGUUUACCAUGAAUGAAACGCAAAGUAUUCAAAGACAUAAUGUGGGAGACUGCUGAAUGUCCCCUAAUAUCUGUUCUCACCUUCUUCUGUAAGAAUACCAUUUUAGCUGAGCACAUGAUCAACAAACUAGACUGUAUUUCCCAGCCUUCCUUCUAAGUAAGUGUGGCCAUAUGUCUAAACUCUAAGCAAUGAAAUGUGGGCAGGAAUGAGUGUUUGCUAUCCUGGAUGUCUUCUUUUAGAAGGCUUGAAUCCGUGCCUUCUUAGUCCUUCUUCCCCUUCCUGGUGGUUGUAGGUAACGAUUGCUAGAUGUAGCAAGUAAAAAUAGAGCGCCGAGUUCAACUGGAAUUUCAGAUCAACAAUGAAUACAUUUUUAGUAUAAGUAUAUAUCAAUUACUGCAUGAGACAUAUUUAUACUAAAAAAAGUAUUCAUUGUUGAUCUGAAGUUCCAAUUAAACUGGGUGUCCUAUAUUUUAUCUGGGAACACUCCUGGAGAUAGUGAAAAGUGGAGCAUAUGCCUUUGACCCAGAGAGGGAAGUCACCUGUGGAAGAUGGCAGAGACAUUGCAGCAGGCCUGAAAUGGCCUACUUCUGGAUUGUUGCUUGAAAAAGACCAUAAUUCUGUAUGUCACCUCUUCUUUCCCUAAGGACCAUGGUGUUCUUAAGAUCUUUGGAACUUAGUCUUUGUUCUAAAUGAUGUGAGAAAAUUUUUUUUUUUUUUUGCAAUUCCAACGAUUAAAAGGACUUACUGUGUUUCCAGAAUUGUUAAAAGAGAAUAAUCACUUGGGGAAAGUUAUGAAACUUUGAGUAUAAUAAAAGCAACCUACAAGCAAGUCGAAGUGAAUCAUCUAAAAGCAGGGGUUCGGCAAACUAUGGCACACAGACAGAAUCUAGUCUGCUGCCCGUUUUUGUAAAUAAAGUUUUAUGGGAACACAUUCA
This is a long non-coding RNA of Felis catus (domestic cat), 7837 nucleotides long. RefSeq lists it as uncharacterized. The record is from RefSeq and is a predicted model, not a curated record. Lineage: Eukaryota; Metazoa; Chordata; Mammalia; Carnivora; Felidae. The transcript is spliced from 2 exons.